UACAGAGGGUGCAAGCGUUGUUCGGAAUUAUUGGGCGUAAAGCGCGUGUAGGCGGCUUGUUAUGUCGGGUGUGAAAGCCCCCAGCUUAACUGAGGAAGUGCGCCCGAAACUGGCAAGCUUGAGUGCCGGAGAGGAUAGCGGAACACCCGGUGUAGAGGUGAAAUUCGUAGAUAUCGGGUAGAACACCAGUGGCGAAGGCGGCUAUCUGGACGGACACUGACGCUGAGACGCGAAAGCGUGGGGAGCAAAC
Molecule: ribosomal RNA, 250 nt
Filed under: uncultured bacterium
Lineage: Bacteria
Description: partial 16S ribosomal RNA
Rfam family: Bacterial small subunit ribosomal RNA
Source: RNAcentral